GCUUAGUAGCACUAGAUAUUUUCCCGCCGCGCGCGGCCCGCCCCCGCUGCCGCCACCUCCUGCCCUGCACCGCGCCGCCCGCCCCCACCCUCCCGCCGCAGCUGUCCGAGGUAGACUGGAUCCGCGGCGAGAGGCAGGUUCUGGCAGCGGAGGGUCGAUCGAUGGGGCGACCUGCGGGUGAGCGGCGGCGGCGGGGCUGAAUCUAGUCGAUGGGGUCUACCUGGCGGAUGAGUUUGGCAGCCCGGCAGCAGUAGCGCUCCGUCCACACCCCGCGCUGGACCGGCAGCAGCGUCGCUCCCUCCAUCCUCACCCCGUGCUGGACCGGCAGCAGCAGAACGGAUGAAUUCUACCUCCUGCUCAGCCACGAAGGGCUCCACCCCAGGCCUUAAAUCGUCCCCAUCGAGAUAUGGACGGCGGCGAAGCUGCAACUCGGGUGGCGCCAUGGCUCCCUGUGCAGAGAAAACGAGACGAGGGGGAGAUCAGGGAGGAGCAGCAGGAGGAGUGAAGGAAAAAGAAGGCGGUGGAGAAGGCCUUGCUCGCCGGAGAGCUCAACUUGCAUUGACGAACUCCAAGGCGCAUGUUCUGGCAACAGAGGGCUGGAUCCGGUCGACGGGAAGACCUGUAGGCGAGCGGCAGCGACGGUUUGGGACGGUCGCGAAGCUGCAACUCGGGCAGCGCCAUGGCUCCCUAAGCAGAGAAAACGAGACGAGGGGGAGGUCAGGGAGGAGCAGCAGGACGAGUGAAGGAAAAGAAGGCGGUGGAGAAGGCGAGGAACUCCGAGGCGGCGGCGCCCGCUGUAGCAGGAGGUGGGUCGGGUGCACCGACAUGAUAGCUGUGCUUGGUGGGAACUGAUUGCGGGCAUGGGAACCGUGGAUCGACCCCCACGUACACAGGUGCUAUACAUUUUUUCGUAUGCCUCUUCUAGAUUUCGUUUUGAGCUGAUGGGUGCGAGAUGUGGCAUCAUGUCUCGGCUCUACAAAAUCCAUGGCUGAAGUGCGUGUCCCAGGGUCACAGUCUCCAUUAUUUCUUCAGUUCCUCGCUUCCCGCUUGUUUCAAGAACAAAAACAUUCAGUGAGGAAGACCAGUAACAGAUUUGGAUGUUGUAUGCACCUUCAUCUUGCAGUCCAAUUACUUGGACUGUUUGCGACAAAUUCGUUUGUUUUUAACUGUACUACAGUUAUAUAGCAGGAUAAGGAUACAUGCUUGUACUGCCUCUAUCACAAAUUGCACAUGAGUUGAUUCAUACAGCUAGCAAUCAAUCGCUCUGAAGGUAUUGCUCUUUUAUUUUACUUCACUAAUUCAUAAGAAUUAUUUUUCUCUUGCCAGCUUGAGCUUCAGCAGCGUCUUGCCUUGUAUUAUGUUGGUGUGGACAUGCUGGAGGUUGUAUGGACAAACAAUUGUGUCCAUUAUUGGUUUGAAAUUUGUUGAUUGAUUCACUUUUCUUCUCCAAAAUUGUCCGAUAAGCACACAGUUUAUAGAACUAAACACGUUGAACUCCUUUGACCUUUCCUAAUACGAACUCCCAUCUCAACACCUAGCCUACAAAAUAUGCUAGCCUACUCCCUCUGUCUCUCUGUUCUUGGACCCCCUUCUAGAUGUGCAUAUGUGUUUUCAAUGGCUUGCACAGGCGCGGCCAUGCAACUGCAGUUUACUUGUUUGAAUUAUAUAUAUCCUGUCUAUAAAUUUGUUUUGAUUGGGUUUUCUCUUAUGUAUGAGUGCACCAUCCGCCGUUUAAAUAAUUGGAUCUUCUAACUCCUUGGGAUAAUUUGCAUCUUUAUUUGUGCUAAUUGGAAAGGUGCAUGAACAAUGAUUUAUCUAUGGUUUUUUCUUACUGGAAAGGCCUUUUCAAUUUUAAAAACCUACUGAUUUGAUGAAUAGAAAAGGUCUACUGCUAUAUGGUUCCGCUCUACAUCUCUGUCCUUAAUUGGCUGAAUGUGUGCAUUAGUGAUUGAGACCAGUGCUAUAUGGUUCCACUCUACAUCCCAGAACUGAAGGUGAUGUUGAUCAAGUAUUUUGCAUCAGUCAUCAAGUACUAUUUAUUAAUUCUGUAUGUUUUUUGGUACAUGAUCUGUAAGCUCUAAACAAGUGAAUGCCUAAAAGGGUCACGAUGUUGCUUUUCCAUGCCCUUCAGUUUUUUCAGUUGAGUUGGCUACCUGAAUUUCCAUUAUGUUAAUUUCUUUCCCUGUGCAAUUUCUCACUGGUGUUCAUGUAAUUACCCUGCAGCCCUUCUUAGCAGUAAAUAGAAGUGAUAGAAGUAAACCAAGCAGGCUUCUAUUUAACUACAGUUUUACGUAGUAGCCUCUGAAUUUGUACUUAUUUAAUUGACUGUUUUGGUGUUAAGAUCCAAUAGCCCGCUGUUAGUUAAUGCUCUAUUUAUGUUUUCUUCUAAGAAAACUAAUGUAGUAUUCCAGCAAAAACAAUGACUCAUCGUCUCCGGGUCACACCACAAAAUUUGACCGGUCCUAGCAAAAAAAAAAAAGAACAGUUCUAGCAAAAAAAUCGUUGUCGUGGUCACAGGUACUAUAUGAUUCCACUAUGCGUAUUUGUAGUUUUUUGCCUGAAGGUGUGCAUUAGUGGUUGGCCUCGAUCAAAAAUUACUUUUAUUAUUCCUUCUUGGUUUUAGACAAUAACAGUAGAGAAUCUAAAACCCUCUACUGUAGCAGUACCUGUACUAGAGCAACUCUUCAGUGAAGAAACAUACAGUAAGUUUUCAUAUUAUACCAGUUAGAAGAAAUUUGGUACAGGAAUUGCAACAGUCUUGAUCAAGUAUUUUCUUUAUUCCUUCUUGGUUCAACUUUGUAAUAAUCUUGAAUAUGGUUUGAACAAUAUUACCGGAACAUUUAACUAUCUUUUUUUAUCAUUGCAGAAAAUGGAUGACAACACUAAAUUGACCAUUGUUCAGGAUUUUGAUAAACGGGCUUUAAAAAAAGAGUAUGGAGUCCAGUGUUUUGGAGCAAUCACCCGCGUCACCAAUCAUCUCAACAUGUCUCUGAAUGUUUUGAAUCGAUGGUUCCUGAGUUAGAUGAUCAGACAAAUAGUGAUCCAUUGCCAACACCCCGGUCGCCAACCAGCUCGAAAUUAUCUCUGAAUGAUGAAUUGCCCCUGAGUGAAGGAAAUAUUUCACUAGAUGAUAUCUUAGGGAACUACAUAGGUUUAGACAAUACUAAUGCUUUGCUUUCUGUACAAGAUCUCAGUUAAAAGAAUAUAUAUACUGCUUCUGAUGCAUAGCAUACCCAAAAAUCUGUUAAAUGUUGGUAAUUACCUUUGAGAGAGAUACUGUGGCUUUAAGUUAUUUUUCUAUUUAAAUUCACAUAGGCAAAGCUACAACUUUCUUUGAUCCAUGGUACUGUUGCUAUGCCAAGAUUUGAUGAUAAUUCUUAUUCUUGGAUGUUGAA
Long non-coding RNA from Triticum aestivum (bread wheat), 3395 nucleotides. RefSeq lists it as uncharacterized. The record is from RefSeq and is a predicted model, not a curated record. The transcript has 2 exons. NCBI's taxonomy places the organism in Eukaryota, Viridiplantae, Streptophyta, Magnoliopsida, Poales, Poaceae.